This 254-nucleotide ribosomal RNA is filed under the name uncultured bacterium. RNAcentral describes it as "partial 16S ribosomal RNA". It matches the Rfam family "Bacterial small subunit ribosomal RNA", at positions 524 to 776 of the family's 1533-position model. The record is from RNAcentral.
UACAGAGGGUGCGAGCGUUAAUCGGAAUUACUGGGCGUAAAGCGUGCGUAGACGGUUAUUUAAGUCGGGUGUGAAAGCCCCGGGCUCAACCUGGGAAUUGCAUUCGAGACUGAAUAGCUAGGGUACGGUAGAGGGAAGUGGAAUUUCCGGUGUAGCGGUGAAAUGCGUAGAUAUCGGGAGGAACACCAGUGGCGAAGGCGACUACCUGGCCUGUUUCUUGACGCUGAGGCGCGAAAGCUAGGGGAGCAAACGGG